RNAcentral lists this ribosomal RNA (492 nucleotides) under uncultured bacterium. Its description in RNAcentral is "bacterial SSU rRNA". It matches the Rfam family "Bacterial small subunit ribosomal RNA", at positions 28 to 524 of the family's 1533-position model. The record is from RNAcentral.
GACGAACGCUGGCGGCGUGCUUAACACAUGCAAGUCGAACGGUGAACCAGGGCUUGCCCUGGGGAUCAGUGGCGAACGGGUGAGUAACACGUGGGCAACCUGCCCCUGACUCUGGGAUAACUCCUCGAAAGAGGUGCUAAUACCGGAUACGACCACUUCGGGCAUCCGAUGGUGGUGGAAAGAAUUUUGGUCAGGGAUGGGCCCGCGGCCUAUCAGCUUGUUGGUGGGGUAACGGCCCACCAAGGCGACGACGGGUAGCCGGCCUGAGAGGGCGACCGGCCACACUGGGACUGAGACACGGCCCAGACUCCUACGGGAGGCAGCAGUGGGAAAUAUUGCGCAAUGGGCGAAAGCCUGACGCAGCGACGCCGCGUGAGGGACGACGGGCCCUUCGGGUUGGUUAAACCCGUACUUUCCUAGCAGGGACGAAGCGAAAGUGACGGUACCUGCAGAAGAAGCACCGGCUAACUACGUGCCAGCAGCCGCGGUAAU